UGACGUCAAAUCAGCACGGCCCUUAUGUCCAGGGCUACACACGUGUUACAAUGGCCGGUCAAAGGGCAGCUACUUCGCGAGAAGAUGCUAAUCUCGAAAGCCGGUCUCAGUUCGGAUCGAAGUCUGCAACCCGACUUCGUGAAGCUGGAUUCGCUAGUAAUCGCGCAUCAGCCAUGGCCGCGGUCCGAAUACGUUCCGGGCCUU
Molecule: ribosomal RNA, 204 nt
Filed under: uncultured Sphingobacteriales bacterium
Lineage: Bacteria; Pseudomonadati; Bacteroidota; Sphingobacteriia; Sphingobacteriales
Description: partial 16S ribosomal RNA
Rfam family: Bacterial small subunit ribosomal RNA
Source: RNAcentral